Non-coding RNA from Peromyscus maniculatus bairdii (prairie deer mouse), 2466 nucleotides. NCBI's taxonomy places the organism in Eukaryota, Metazoa, Chordata, Mammalia, Rodentia, Cricetidae. The record is from RefSeq and is a predicted model, not a curated record.
CUGAUGCAGCGGCUUUCAGGUGUGACAGGUGCUAUGCUGGGAAGACAAACAGGACAACCGUGCUUGUGGCACUGGGGUGGAGAUAACCGGGGAGCGUCAGCUGUACCUUCUCUUGAAAUGGCCUUUGAAGGCAUGGCCGAGUCAUUGUGACGUCACCUUGGGAAGCAGAGCGGACACCUAGUCCAGGAACUCGACCGGACACCACAAGCCCGGGGAACCAGGGCAAUCCCUUCCCCAGGGCCUGCAGUAGGAGUCAGUUGUCUAACCCAUGAGCUCAUACUACAGCUUCCAGGGCGGCGAGGAGGGGAUCCAUGGGAGACUGGAUACACACCUGCCUGUGUUUAGAUACGUGUUUAGCCAUAUAAUACGCAUUCAGCAACUGUGCAGCUGUUUUAACCCCAGAGAAUCCUAUUCAGAGACAUCAGCACUCUGAUGACUGAGGUGGAGACUGCCCAAAUGCCGUCAGAGAAUCUAAGGAUAUCACUGAUACCCUGCUGCAAUUUCCUCUGAAGAGAUGUAGAUCACUCAGGAGCCACUUGGAUCCAUGAAUGUCAUCUUCUGGGGACACAUGGUCCAGAAGCCAGGCCUGCGGGCAUCUUCCAAAUGGGUUGCACAUGGAUCCUUUGCUAAUGGGGCUGACCACAGAGGUCCAGUAGAGAAAGAAGAGUGAGGUCACUACUGAUCCUCCUCCAUCCCUCUUUAUCUCUCCUGUGUUCUACCCUCUGUGUUGAGAUGUAUUGGGGUCAGUCUUGUGCUGGGUGGUGGUGGUCCACACUAGCUCCUGUCCUUAAAUGGGGACCUCAGGGAACCCCAGAGAGAACCUGACCUCCACUCUUAGUUGCUUCUUCCCACCUAAGAGGUGAAGGGGCAGGAGGAGGCUGUGGUAACAACAGCCCAUGGUCCCUGCACUGAGCAGGAGCACCAAUCACUGAAGUUAUGGUUCAGCAUAACUAACAGCUCUGUGGUCAGGGUGGAUGCCCAUCCCAGCCUUCAGCUAACUGGCACUGCAUGGUCCAGGAACAGCCUCCAGUCUUUCCGAUGAUGACCACAAAAGAAUUUCUUUGCUUAAAAAAAUCCAUCUAUGGGUUGUCCACUAAUAUAGGGAGUAAUUUGCUUUCUAUCAGGUGCAUGCUCAGUGAAACACAACCUCUGCCCUCCAUGGGCCACCAUGGAAAGAGAGAACAGCAGUGAAGUACACUCUACCUGGGGCACAAGAAAGUAUAGGGACGGCAGAUCAUAUGUCCCCUCCACACCCACAUGCCACAUCCACAUGUAAUAUGAACACAUUUAUGCACAGGCGUGCGCACACACACACACACACACACACACAAUACAGCCACAUAUGAGCACAGAUGAACACACACAUUCACAUACAUCUACAAGCAAAUGCACAGGUUAUUGCACCUAAGUGGGAAGAUUUUAAAAAAAAAAAUACCAGAUGUAUAUUUGUCAGCAAAGAAAGACCAGGAGAGGAGAAAAGCUCUCCAAUAUCAAUGCCCAUCACAAAGGAUUGCUUUCAUGGCAUUUUUACAAAAUGAACAAGCAGUAUAGAUACAUCAAAGCCUACCAGCCAUGUCAGAGCAGCAUGAAAGGACUUUUCCUUCCCACAUGAGGAGUCCAGGUGAAUGACCACAGGUCUCCAGACCUUUGCAGGAUGCACAAGCACACAUAAGGAGCAACGUCCUCACAUCUGGCUUCUCUCCAUGCCACACCCAGGGGAACACACACUCCAGUUUCUGGGGGUGUGUCUAAGGCAGAGAGAAUAGAGGCUGGCCAGGAAGUCAGUGCAGAGGGAGCUGACAGAGCCCACGCUGGCCACCAGGCUCUGCUGUAACCUGGUAUAACUAAUUGAGUGGAAUUCUUUAAACAUGUAUCUGAAUUUGAUCUUCAAUAAUUUUAUUAAGGCUUAUUGGAUCAAUAUUCAGAUCCAUAUUCAUACUGACCCAGGGUCGUGUUCAAAUAAAUACCUCACUUGACAUCAGGCACUUUCUAAGGCUUCAUGCCCCAGAUUACACCUGUACACAAAAGAGAACAGGUGAGACACUGUGCUUUUGUCUAAUGCUCUCUGCCACCCACCCCCAAGUUCUCUUAAGGGAAGUCAACAAAAGCAAAUAUGUUUGCUUGGUGAGUUAAUUUGGAAAAGAGAAAAAGCAGCAGUACCCAGUCCCGUGCAUGUGUGCACAGUCCUGUGUCUAUGUGCCCAGUCCCAUUCGUGUGUGCCCAGUCCUGUGUGCCCAGUCCCGUGCAUGUGUGCCCAGUCCCAUGUGUAUGCCCAGUCCCAUUCGUGUGUGCCCAGUCCUGUGUGCCCAGUCCCAUUCAUGUGUGUCCAGUCCUGUGUGCCCAGUCCCGUGCAUGUGUGCCAUAGUCCCAGUGUGACUGCCCACCUAUAUUUACUGGUGGUAGAAUUUUCUUUUUAUUUAUUCUAUGCAUCUUUAUUUAUUUAUUCUAUUACAUCAUGUAUCUUAA